Meleagris gallopavo (turkey) is the source of this 3293-nucleotide non-coding RNA. The record is from RefSeq and is a predicted model, not a curated record. Lineage: Eukaryota; Metazoa; Chordata; Aves; Galliformes; Phasianidae.
AAAUAUUGCCUGGAAAACAAUGUCUAGCGAGACUAAUGGUUUCACAGAAAGGAGCCAAACACUGUGAGUUUUGUUCUCACUGCUUUUCACCUCUUUCUGAAAGCUGUUCUGCAGUCAAACAACAUUUUAUCUCUGUGUUUCAUAACUAUUCUGUCUGUACUUUUCACCACUUCUUCACACUUUGAUCUGAUAACUUCAGGACUAGUCUGGUUUUCCGGGGUUACUCUGUUUCAGCUGCACUUUGGCCAUGAGAAGUUGAUCCUAUUUCUUGUUGCAGCCGCCACCUAUUUUACUUAAAUCUAGCUGAAACUGACAAGUGGACAGACGAUCAACUGGUCAUCUCAGCAGGAGCUUGAAGGCAAUUAUUCAAGAAGAGCAAGUAAAAAGUGUCUUGUUUGCUCUAAGUCAUGCUACAGUACUCUGACCCUGGAAUGCACUGCAGCAAAACAUGACAUAUCUGCAUCCUGAAGGAACAACAACAUAAAAAAAGCUUCGAAAGAAAAUGAUAUCCAUGGACUCUGUAUUAGGACUGUGACUGCUCAGCUAGAGAAUACAUUUCAUCUGGAAUCACUGCAUGAAGUUUUUGGAGUUUCAAGAAAAAAAAAUCAAACAAAACAAGUUUGUCGAUCUCAUAAAUCAGUUACCCCUUUCUGUUUUGUACAGAUAGGAGGUGUGUAGUCCAUGUGGAGAUGUAGAUAUCAUGUAAAAGACAAGAUUCUAAAAAGCAUGUUUGUUUUUAUUUUAAAAAAAUAUCAGCACUGUAAACAAUGAAUGAAGGCCUUGUAUAAUGAAUAUCUUAUUUUAAUCUGUGUUGCAAAAAUGUUACAACAAUAGGAAAAAUGUAUUACAUUGUAGAAUUUAAUUAAAAAAAAAUCAGAUAAUCAGCUAUCCUAAAACCUUACAUUCUUCCAGCGUAACAUUCUGUAGUUAGAAUACUUUAAGUUUUCUUCUUGGUUUCUUUUUUUUUUUUGUUUUUUUUUGUUUUGUUAAUACUUAUUAUUCAGCUAACAGAUUAAUUUCUUUCUGAAAUCACUCUAAUUUGGAUAAAGUUGACUUUUCUUCCUCUUGCCCGCUGUAUCUCUAUGAGUAGAUAAGAGCUGUUGAUUCUGUUAAUAUGUCUUAACAUCCUCUUAAGAAAAUCAUCUGGAAAAACUGAAAUUUUCUGUUAGAAACUAACGUUUGCCUACUAUUUGCAGCCAAAUCUGUUUACAGAUAAAAGUCAUGGGUGUAACUUUCCAUCUAAAAUUCUUUUCUUAGCUUACGAAACCAAAGGCGUAACUGUCCCCUAUAGAAAUCUAACAAUUCAGGAAACUAAUCUAGAAUUAUGCUUAAGAUACUAUAUGCAGCUUUUGUGUAAGACCUGAAGCUAAUACAUUCUCACAGCUUCAACAGCAUGGUUAUAUUUGAUUGUGGAACCUGGUGAAUCACUCCUGUACACUACACAGUUUCUUGCCUACUAUAACUACAUUAUUUACCAAUGUUAAGCAUAUCCAAACUAGACAUCUCCAGAGAAAGUGAAUAGAAGGUCAGAAAAUUGUUUCCCAUCUUUCAUUACAAAAGGCACACAAUUUUCAUUAUUGUGUGUUGUCAAUAUUCACUGCAAUUGUAUUCUUCCUCCCAUUCUCUAAUAAGAUAUUAGAAUAUUUUAUUGUCUGUAUUACAAUUACUCAGAAACAGAAUAUCAUUUGUAAAUCAAAACACAAAUAUCUUUACAAGAAGUUUGAAUAUUUGCUCCCUAAAUCAUUAUGCUGUUCUCAUAACAUAUUAUUGAUAUAAUUUUCCUGCAUUUAACAUGUAAAUCUGAAACUUUCAUCAAGGCAGCAUAUAAACUGAUUCUUCGCAGACGGACUAGCUCAUUACUCUGUCAUUGAUUUCUCUGAAGUUAGUUCUUGCCUGGACUAAAAAUUGGUAAUCACUUUUUGUUGCUUUUAGCCAAGUUCUGAAUUCUGAUUAAGCAUUUACACUGUGCUGGUAACCUGGCAGCUGGUUAUCUGAUUAAUAUGAAUAUCAGAGAAAAGAGAUUUUAAAAUGUGCUUAUGAAAAAACUCAGUUUUAAUAAUUUACUUGUGUUGCCUCAGUACAUCAGCCUCCCGAGAAAAAUAAAAUCCAAAUGAUAUGAAUGAAUUCCUCAAAUCCUAUAAAGAUAGAAUUUUCUUCAGGAAUAGGUCAUAAUUCUGUGUCAUGCUAGAGCAAAUUAUCCUAGUCACUUUCCCAGUUGAUAUUGCUAACUGUCAUUUUCUUCAGUUUUACUUUAGUUCUAUUUUUGUUCAUUAUUUUUAAGCAAUACUUCUUUUAAACCCAUUUCUUUCCUGCUAACAUGUGAUUUUGUUCAAGUAACAAGGCCAUGUGAUAUGUAAUUUAUGCCUACUCUCUAAUACUCCGAUUAAAGAAAGGAAGUAACUUCGUUUCUUAAUGGUGAAUUUGGAAUCUUUCACAUUUUAUUGCAUUAUAAGUAUUUAUGAUUUAUGAAUCUAUAUAUACAUACACAGUUAAUUUGUAGGGACAAGACAGUUUUGAAAAGCUAAUAAUUUCUGCAGCAUUGUAAUACUUUGAAUCAUUACUGCUCGAUUUUCUCGGGAAUUAUAUGUUUUGUACAUGAAACAUGAAAUAGGUGUUAAAGAGAUUAUUAGAAUGAGUAAAGUAGCCAAAGCUAUUAUUCAGUGAAUGCACUUGAGCUACAAAGGAGGAGAAAAAUAAUGGUAUCCUCUAUGAAAUGGAAAUUUCUUUACCAGUGGGAAUUUCUAGUCAAAUGGAUUAAUACUUCUCUUAGUACCCUUUGCAAUCUCGAAGGGCUUGUCAGUAAAAGAAUGUAUUAUAAAAUAAUGCUACUUCUAUAUCACUAAAAAAGCUAAACAUUCCAGACAGAAUUCAAUGAGGAAAAACAAACUGAAAAUUUUGCACUCAUAAGCAACCUUGAUUGCUCUCUUUGUUGUCCUUUGCAUUUCUUUACUAGUCAAAAAUUUUUUUUAGAAAUCACAUCCGCUUGUGGCAAAUUUCUUUUUGCCCCAGUUGAAGCUCUAAGUGAAGGAUUGAGAACUUUUUACAAAAUAAUAAUAAUAAUAAAAAAAAAUUAAACUUUCAUAAGCUUCUCUAAAUGGCAUAGAAGCCUCUUGCAUUCUUGGCUGUGGGGAGCUGACCUUGACUGUCUGCCACGUGUCCAUCCAGCCUCUCUCUCACUCACCCUCCACAACAUGAUGAGUGAGAAAAUAAGAUGGAAAAGCUUGUGGGUCAAGACAAAGACAGGGAUCCUAAUCACUUACCCUUGUAGACAAAACAGACUUGACAUGGGUAAA